RNAcentral lists this ribosomal RNA (1333 nucleotides) under Streptococcus thermophilus. RNAcentral describes it as "bacterial SSU rRNA". It matches the Rfam family "Bacterial small subunit ribosomal RNA", at positions 92 to 1414 of the family's 1533-position model. The record is from RNAcentral. Lineage: Bacteria; Bacillati; Bacillota; Bacilli; Lactobacillales; Streptococcaceae.
UGAGUUGCGAACGGGUGAGUAACGCGUAGGUAACCUGCCUUGUAGCGGGGGAUAACUAUUGGAAACGAUAGCUAAUACCGCAUAACAAUGGAUGACACAUGUCAUUUAUUUGAAAGGGGCAAUUGCUCCACUACAAGAUGGACCUGCGUUGUAUUAGCUAGUAGGUGAGGUAAUGGCUCACCUAGGCGACGAUACAUAGCCGACCUGAGAGGGUGAUCGGCCACACUGGGACUGAGACACGGCCCAGACUCCUACGGGAGGCAGCAGUAGGGAAUCUUCGGCAAUGGGGGCAACCCUGACCGAGCAACGCCGCGUGAGUGAAGAAGGUUUUCGGAUCGUAAAGCUCUGUUGUAAGUCAAGAACGGGUGUGAGAGUGGAAAGUUCACACUGUGACGGUAGCUUACCAGAAAGGGACGGCUAACUACGUGCCAGCAGCCGCGGUAAUACGUAGGUCCCGAGCGUUGUCCGGAUUUAUUGGGCGUAAAGCGAGCGCAGGCGGUUUGAUAAGUCUGAAGUUAAAGGCUGUGGCUCAACCAUAGUUCGCUUUGGAAACUGUCAAACUUGAGUGCAGAAGGGGAGAGUGGAAUUCCAUGUGUAGCGGUGAAAUGCGUAGAUAUAUGGAGGAACACCGGUGGCGAAAGCGGCUCUCUGGUCUGUAACUGACGCUGAGGCUCGAAAGCGUGGGGAGCGAACAGGAUUAGAUACCCUGGUAGUCCACGCCGUAAACGAUGAGUGCUAGGUGUUGGAUCCUUUCCGGGAUUCAGUGCCGCAGCUAACGCAUUAAGCACUCCGCCUGGGGAGUACGACCGCAAGGUUGAAACUCAAAGGAAUUGACGGGGGCCCGCACAAGCGGUGGAGCAUGUGGUUUAAUUCGAAGCAACGCGAAGAACCUUACCAGGUCUUGACAUCCCGAUGCUAUUUCUAGAGAUAGAAAGUUACUUCGGUACAUCGGUGACAGGUGGUGCAUGGUUGUCGUCAGCUCGUGUCGUGAGAUGUUGGGUUAAGUCCCGCAACGAGCGCAACCCCUAUUGUUAGUUGCCAUCAUUCAGUUGGGCACUCUAGCGAGACUGCCGGUAAUAAACCGGAGGAAGGUGGGGAUGACGUCAAAUCAUCAUGCCCCUUAUGACCUGGGCUACACACGUGCUACAAUGGUUGGUACAACGAGUUGCGAGUCGGUGACGGCGAGCUAAUCUCUUAAAGCCAAUCUCAGUUCGGAUUGUAGGCUGCAACUCGCCUACAUGAAGUCGGAAUCGCUAGUAAUCGCGGAUCAGCACGCCGCGGUGAAUACGUUCCCGGGCCUUGUACACACCGCCCGUCACACCACGAGAGUUUG